Molecule: ribosomal RNA, 447 nt
Filed under: uncultured bacterium
Lineage: Bacteria
Description: partial 16S ribosomal RNA
Rfam family: Bacterial small subunit ribosomal RNA
Source: RNAcentral
AACGAACGCUGGCGGCAGGCUUAACACAUGCAAGUCGAACGCACCGCAAGGUGAGUGGCAGACGGGUGAGUAACGCGUGGGAACCUUCCUUUUAGUAAAGAAUAGCCCAGGGAAACUUGGAUUAAUACUUUAUACGCCCUACGGGGGAAAGAUUUAUCGCUAAAAGAUGGGCCCGCGUUGGAUUAGCUAGUUGGUGAGGUAAUGGCUCACCAAGGCUACGAUCUAUAGCUGAUCUGAGAGGAUGAUCAGCCACACUGGAACUGAGACACGGUCCAGACUCCUACGGGAGGCAGCAGUGGGGAAUAUUGGACAAUGGGCGCAAGCCUGAUCCAGCCAUGCCGCGUGAAUGACGAAGGCCUUCGGGUUGUAAAGUUCUUUAGCAGGGGAAAAUCAUGAUGGUACCCUGAAAAUAAGCUCCGGCUAACUUCGUGCCAGCCGCCGCAGUAA